RNAcentral lists this ribosomal RNA (253 nucleotides) under uncultured bacterium. Its description in RNAcentral is "partial 16S ribosomal RNA". It matches the Rfam family "Bacterial small subunit ribosomal RNA", at positions 524 to 776 of the family's 1533-position model. The record is from RNAcentral.
UACGUAGGGCGCAAGCGUUAUCCGGAAUUAUUGGGCGUAAAGAGCUCUUAGGCGGUUUGUCGCGUCUGCCGUGAAAGUCCGGGGCUCAACUCCGGAUCUGCGGUGGGUACGGGCAGACUAGAGUGAUGUAGGGGAGACUGGAAUUCCUGGUGUAGCGGUGAAAUGCGCAGAUAUCAGGAGAAACACCGAUGGCGAAGGCAGGUCUCUGGGCAUUAACUGACGCGGAGGAGCGAAAGCAUGGGGAGCGAACAGG